RNAcentral lists this unclassified non-coding RNA (338 nucleotides) under Bombus terrestris (buff-tailed bumblebee). Its description in RNAcentral is "misc RNA ENSBTSG00005024866.1". The record is from RNAcentral. Lineage: Eukaryota; Metazoa; Arthropoda; Insecta; Hymenoptera; Apidae.
GAAAGAUGGAGGAGUAGAGGAGAACGAAGCUAUCGGUCUACUAUAUCUGUGGACCCGGGUUCAUCGUGAAUACGAAUGAGGUCCUGGUCGAUCGGGCUGGAGCACUAAUUGAGAAAGUUCGCCGGUACCGCUGCCAAUGUUUCCUCUGGAUGAAGAUAGCCGACCACUUUUGAGGGCAAGUCUGCUCCUCUGUUCCUCUUCUUCGUGAUUAAGGCCUGUUCCUUUAGACGGGUUGCAGCGCUGGGAUACCAGAGGGAAAGGAAACACGGAAAAUCGUCGCUGUUGAAACCGCUAGUAAUGAAUUUAAUGAGGUGUUUCUGCGCGAUGCUCGAAGGCAG